Molecule: ribosomal RNA, 433 nt
Filed under: uncultured bacterium
Lineage: Bacteria
Description: partial 16S ribosomal RNA
Rfam family: Bacterial small subunit ribosomal RNA
Source: RNAcentral
AACGAACGCUGGCGGCAUGCCUAACAAAUGCAAGUCGAACGAGACCUUCGGGCCUAGUGGCGCACGGGUGCGUAACGCGUGGGAACCUGCCCUUAGGUUCGGAAUAAAUCCCCGAAAGGGGUGCUAAUACCGGAUAAUGUCUUCGGACCAAAGAUUUAUCGCCUUUGGAUGGGCCUGCGUUGGAUUAGCUAGUUGGUAGGGUAAAAGCCUACCAAGGCGACGAUCCAUAGCUGGUCUGAGAGGAUGAUCAGCCACACUGGGACUGAGACACGGCCCAGACUCCUACGGGAGGCAGCAGUAGGGAAUAUUGGACAAUGGGCGAAAGCCUGAUCCAGCAAUGCCGCGUGAGUGAUGAAGGCCUUAGGGUUGUAAAGCUCUUUUACCCGGGAUGAUAAUGACAGUACCGGGAGAAUAAGCUCCGGCUAACUCCGUG